Molecule: ribosomal RNA, 482 nt
Filed under: uncultured bacterium
Lineage: Bacteria
Description: partial 16S ribosomal RNA
Rfam family: Bacterial small subunit ribosomal RNA
Source: RNAcentral
AUUGAACGCUGGCGGCAUGCUUUACACAUGCAAGUCGAACGGUAACAGGCCGCAAGGUGCUGACGAGUGGCGAACGGGUGAGUAAUGCAUCGGAACGUGCCCCGUCGUGGGGGAUAACUACUCGCAAGAGUAGCUCAUACCGCAUACGAUCUAUGGAUGAAAGCGGGGGACCGUAAGGCCUCGCGCGAUUGGAGCGGCCGAUGUUAGAUUAGCUAGUUGGUGGGGUAAAGGCUCACCAAGCCAACGAUCUGUAGCUGGUCUGAGAGGACGACCAGCCACACUGGGACUGAGACACGGCCCAGACUCCUACGGGAGGCAGCAGUGGGGAAUUUUGGACAAUGGGCGCAAGCCUGAUCCAGCAAUGCCGCGUGCAGGAAGAAGGCCUUCGGGUUGUAAACUGCUUUUGUACGGAACGAAACGGCUCUGGUUAAUACCCGGGGCUAAUGACGGUACCGUAAGAAUAAGCACCGGCUAACUACGUG